RNAcentral lists this ribosomal RNA (415 nucleotides) under uncultured bacterium. RNAcentral's name for it is "bacterial SSU rRNA". It matches the Rfam family "Bacterial small subunit ribosomal RNA", at positions 355 to 787 of the family's 1533-position model. The record is from RNAcentral.
UGGGGAAUAUUGCACAAUGGGCGAAAGCCUGAUGCAGCAACGCCGCGUGAAGGAAGAAGGGUUUCGGCUCGUAAACUUCUAUCAACAGGGACGAAGGAAGUGACGGUACCUGAAUAAGAAGCCCCGGCUAACUACGUGCCAGCAGCCGCGGUAAUACGUAGGGGGCAAGCGUUAUCCGGAAUUACUGGGUGUAAAGGGUGAGUAGGCGGCAUGGUAAGCCAGAUGUGAAAGCUUGGGCUUACCGAGGAUUGCAUUUGGAACUAUCAAGCUAGAGUACAGGAGAGGAAAGCGGAAUUCCUAGUGUAGCGGUGAAAUGCGUAGAUAUUAGGAAGAACACCAGUGGCGAAGGCGGCUUUCUGGACUGAAACUGACGCUGAGGCACGAAAGCGUGGGGAGCGAACAGGAUUAGAUACCC